This is a transfer RNA of 90 nucleotides. It matches the Rfam family "tRNA". From Rfam's summary of the family: Transfer RNA (tRNA) molecules are approximately 80 nucleotides in length. Their secondary structure includes four short double-helical elements and three loops (D, anti-codon, and T loops). The record is from Rfam.
GCCCUUAUGGCUCAGUGGUAGAGCGCAUCACUAGUAAGGUGAACAUCCAUCCCUAUGAUGAGGUCCUAGGUUCGAUCCCUGGUAAGGGCA